CCGGCGCGGCAAGCGCCAAGGAAAACAAAAAUAGAAUCGUUGCCCCUUUGGCUCCCGUCCGCGGUGUGGCCAUGGGGAUGCAGCGUAUCUUGAAAGUCUAAACGACUCUCGGCAACGGAUAUCUCGGCUCUCGCAUCGAUGAAGAACGUAGCGAAAUGCGAUACUUGGUGUGAAUUGCAGAAUCCCGUGAACCAUCGAGUCUUUGAACGCAAGUUGCGCCCGACUCCUUCGGGCUGAGGGCACGCCUGCCUGGGCGUCACGCAUCGCGUCGUCCCCUCCCAUUCCCUCACGGGUUUGGUUAUGGGACGGAUAAUGGCUUCCCGUUAGCUCGGUUAGCCCAAAAAGGAUCCCUCAUCGACGGAUGUCACAACCAGUGGUGGUUGAAAGAUCAUUGGUGCUGUUGUGCUUCACCCUGUCGCUUGCUAGGGCAUCGUCAUAAACUAACGGCGUGUAAUGCGCCUUCGACCGCGACCCCAGGUCAGACGGGACUACCCGCUGAG
RNAcentral lists this ribosomal RNA (500 nucleotides) under embryophyte environmental sample. RNAcentral describes it as "eukaryotic LSU rRNA". The stretch from base 104 to 259 matches the Rfam family "5.8S ribosomal RNA". Lineage: Eukaryota; Viridiplantae; Streptophyta. The record is from RNAcentral.